Molecule: unclassified non-coding RNA, 282 nt
Filed under: Hevea brasiliensis (rubber tree)
Lineage: Eukaryota; Viridiplantae; Streptophyta; Magnoliopsida; Malpighiales; Euphorbiaceae
Source: RNAcentral
UGAAGCUGUGAAGAGACUAUGUCCAAAGCGAGCUCUUUUAAUUGGAAUGACUCAUGAGUUUGAUCAUUACAAGGACAAUGAUUUCCUAAUGGAAUGGUCUAAAAGGGAAGGAAUACCAGUGCAGCUUGCACAUGAUGGUAUGAGAGUUCCUAUAGAAUUGUGAUAAGGUUGGUAUAUGAGCUGUAAGAUAGGCACAUGGUUCCCAAUUCCAUCUCAUACUAAUGGGAGGAAUAAACAAAGUGAAACUAUUUAUGGCCUUCCCUAUGUCCAACUUGUACUGGC